This 541-nucleotide ribosomal RNA is filed under the name uncultured bacterium. RNAcentral's name for it is "bacterial SSU rRNA". It matches the Rfam family "Bacterial small subunit ribosomal RNA", at positions 43 to 574 of the family's 1533-position model. The record is from RNAcentral.
CAGCCUAACACAUGCAAGUCGAACGGUAACAGGAAGCAGCUUGCUGCUUUGCUGACGAGUGGCGGACGGGUGAGUAAUGUCUGGGAAACUGCCUGAUGGAGGGGGAUAACUACUGGAAACGGUAGCUAAUACCGCAUAACGUCGCAAGACCAAAGAGGGGGACCUUCGGGCCUCUUGCCAUCGGAUGUGCCCAGAUGGGAUUAGCUAGUAGGUGGGGUAACGGCUCACCUAGGCGACGAUCCCUAGCUGGUCUGAGAGGAUGACCAGCCACACUGGAACUGAGACACGGUCCAGACUCCUACGGGAGGCAGCAGUGGGGAAUAUUGCACAAUGGGCGCAAGCCUGAUGCAGCCAUGCCGCGUGUAUGAAGAAGGCCUUCGGGUUGUAAAGUACUUUCAGCGGGGAGGAAGGUGUUGAGGUUAAUAACCUCAGCAAUUGACGUUACCCGCAGAAGAAGCACCGGCUAACUCCGUGCCAGCAGCCGCGGUAAUACGGAGGGUGCAAGCGUUAAUCGGAAUCACUGGGCGUAAAGCGCACGCAG